AAAAUAGAAUUUGACUAAAUCAAAUUUAUUUCCUAAGAAUUUCACCUUACCCUAACUAUUAUUAUUUAGUUAAGCAUAAUUGAAAUAAAAAUAAUUAUUAAAAUUAAAUUACACAAAAUUAAAAGGUAUAAAAACAACUAAAAUUGAAAAUAAAACUAAAUUUAUUUAUAAAAAUAAUUAUGCAAAAUAUUAAAAGACAGUUGAAUUUAUUAAUAUAAGAUUACAGAGAAUUUUAGGAGAGAAAUUGAGAAAAAGAGAGAUGAUCAAAACAUAAAAAUGAGGCUCCAUUAUAGAAAAAUACAUUCAUAAUCCAGUAUUUUGCGGUCAAUCAUAAGCUUUAUGCAUGUCUCCACACAGCCAUUAGAUCAAGAUCCAAUAGUUAGUCAAACUUCAAAAGUCAACAUUACACUUGGCAUCAUGUGAAGCAUCUGAUUCGGUCAAAGAACGGUUGAGAUUUGACGAGUUAAUGGGUGGAUCAGGUCGACCUGAAUACAAAAGUUUGGAUCAUUCAACUUGCUUUACCAACCAUUACCACAUGGCACAAUCGUAGCCAUUGAAUUAUGAAUGGUUGAGAUUUAGUCAAAAUUGACAGCUAUCCAAUGCAUUCAUAUUUAUUGUAAGCUCAUUUUAUCAUCCAAUCAAUGUUUGCUCAACGAAAAAAGUCAACUUUUUGUACAAACUUAAUUUUAAGCUGGUCUUGACUUAUCUUAAGAUUUUUAGACUUCCGAAAUCUAAAUUUGACAUUUGUUUAUCUGUUUGGAGCCUCGAAUUAGGUAAAAUUAAAUAUGUCACCACACUUUUUUAAAGUUUCUAUUAUAAUCUUAACAUUUUAACAAAAAGAAAAUUAAUAUACAAACUAUUAGCUAUCAUAUUACUGCCACAAUUGCUAUAUUUUUUUUUCAUUAUCAAAGUUUUGAUCGAGUAAAUUCAUUUUUUUUUUACUUUUAUUUUCUACCAUAGAAUUCAAGAAGAUUUACAAAUGAUUCCGUGAAAUUUCUUUGGAUUACGAAGAAUUUCACAUAAAAGCUAAUCAUGACUUUUGAAAUUGCAUUUCAUAACCAUACCUUUUAAGGUUUAAUCUAUUUGAACUUUUUGUAUAUUCAUGGUGUUUAUUUAGAAAACACUAUAAGCUUGAUAAUAU
RNAcentral lists this long non-coding RNA (1141 nucleotides) under Citrus x clementina. RNAcentral's name for it is "Citrus clementina (C. clementina) long non-coding RNA (CCLE_LNC000910)". Lineage: Eukaryota; Viridiplantae; Streptophyta; Magnoliopsida; Sapindales; Rutaceae. The record is from RNAcentral.